AAAAUAGUUAUGAAAGAGAAUAAUUUUAUUAUUCGCUAUAGAGAGCUAACGGUGGUGUAAGUUAGUGCGAAGAUAAGAGUGUCCGCUCUGGAGCUGCAAAUGAUGAAUUUGACAGGAAUCGCCUGUUAUAGCGAUAUCAAGUAGGCUAUUAUAGCAAGUUGGGUGGCAACGCGGGAAUAGAUUCUCGUCCCUUUU
This 195-nucleotide non-coding RNA is filed under the name Megasphaera sp. RNAcentral's name for it is "T-box sequence". It matches the Rfam family "T-box leader". From Rfam's summary of the family: Uncharged tRNA acts as the effector for transcription antitermination of genes in the T-box leader family. T-boxes are found upstream of many aminoacyl-tRNA synthetase genes and some amino acid biosynthetic genes usually in Gram-positive bacteria. The anticodon of a specific tRNA base pairs to a specifier sequence within the T-box motif, and the NCCA acceptor tail of the tRNA base pairs to a conserved bulge in the T-box antiterminator hairpin. Lineage: Bacteria; Bacillati; Bacillota; Negativicutes; Veillonellales; Veillonellaceae. The record is from RNAcentral.